This 543-nucleotide ribosomal RNA is filed under the name Triticum aestivum (bread wheat). RNAcentral describes it as "partial small subunit ribosomal RNA". The record is from RNAcentral. Lineage: Eukaryota; Viridiplantae; Streptophyta; Magnoliopsida; Poales; Poaceae.
AUGGACUACAAAAUUGUUGCACCAUGUCUUGAUGGCAGAAAAGGUGGAUUACUUCUAGUCUGGAAGAAGGAGGUGAGGAUCUACUCCCGGACUACUACCUUUAGUGUCAUCGAUGUGACGGUUGAAGAACGGGAUGGAAGAGAGUGGAGACUCUCAUGCAUAUACGGGGAACCCAGCUGGGAUAAUAAGGACCGUACGUACCGCCUACUACGGGACUUGCAUGCUCACUCUAGCCUCCCAUGGGUUGCCAUUGGCGACUUCAAUGAGAUUCUACUCUCUUCAGAGAAGGAGGGUGGAGCGCCGCGGCAGCAGGCGAGACUUCAAGCCUUCCAAGAUGUGUUGUCUGAUUGUUCCUUGGAGGAUAUAGGAUACCACAGCGAUAAAUUCACAUGGUUCCGAGGUGGCCUAAGGGAACGUUUGGAUCGGGCCGUCUCUAAUGCCGAAUGGAUGGAGAUGCACCCCUUGUGUGGAAUGUGCAACCUUGAUAUGGGGAAAUCGGAUCAUAGACCGAUAUGUCUGGACACUGACUACUUGGCCGGCGUG